RNAcentral lists this ribosomal RNA (303 nucleotides) under uncultured bacterium. RNAcentral describes it as "partial 16S ribosomal RNA". It matches the Rfam family "Bacterial small subunit ribosomal RNA", at positions 507 to 807 of the family's 1533-position model. The record is from RNAcentral.
AGCAGCAGCCGCGGGAAUACGGAGGGUGCAAGCGUUAUCCGGAUUUAUUGGGUUUAAAGGGUCCGUAGGCGGACUUAUAAGUCAGUGGUGAAAGCCUGUCGCUUAACGAUAGAACUGCCAUUGAUACUGUAAGUCUUGAGUAUAUUUGAGGUAGCUGGAAUAAGUAGUGUAGCGGUGAAAUGCAUAGAUAUUACUUAGAACACCAAUUGCGAAGGCAGGUUACCAAGAUAUAACUGACGCUGAGGGACGAAAGCGUGGGUAGCGAACAGGAUUAGAUACCCCCGUAGUCCCUGUCUCUUAUAC